AGUGAACGCUGGCGGUAGGCCUAACACAUGCAAGUCGAACGGCAGCACAGUAAGAGCUUGCUCUUACGGGUGGCGAGUGGCGGACGGGUGAGGAAUACAUCGGAAUCUACUUUUUCGUGGGGGAUAACGUAGGGAAACUUACGCUAAUACCGCAUACGACCUACGGGUGAAAGCAGGGGAUCUUCGGACCUUGCGCGAUUGAAUGAGCCGAUGUCGGAUUAGCUAGUUGGCGGGGUAAAGGCCCACCAAGGCGACGAUCCGUAGCUGGUCUGGGAGGAUGAUCAGCCACACUGGAACUGAGGCACGGUCCAGACUCCUACGGGAGGCAGCAGUGGGGAAUAUUGGACAACGGGCGCAAGCCUGAUCCAGCCAUACCGCGUGGGUGAAGAAGGCCUUCGGGUUGUAAAGCCCUUUUGUUGGGAAAGAAAAGCAGCAGGUUAAUACCCCGCUGUUCUGACGGUACCCAAAGAAUAAGCACCGGCUAACUUCGUG
RNAcentral lists this ribosomal RNA (492 nucleotides) under uncultured bacterium. Its description in RNAcentral is "partial 16S ribosomal RNA". It matches the Rfam family "Bacterial small subunit ribosomal RNA", at positions 29 to 507 of the family's 1533-position model. The record is from RNAcentral.